Long non-coding RNA from Rhinichthys klamathensis goyatoka, 854 nucleotides. RefSeq lists it as uncharacterized. The record is from RefSeq and is a predicted model, not a curated record. The transcript is spliced from 2 exons. NCBI's taxonomy places the organism in Eukaryota, Metazoa, Chordata, Actinopteri, Cypriniformes, Leuciscidae.
AUAUAAAUACUGUUAGUUUUCUCACAGAAACCGCUCGUUUCGUGUCUUAGGCCAUCAAUGUGUACUUACAUUUACGAGUCAUUAAAUCAUGUUUAAUUUGGACUUCUCUGUGCAUGCUCUUUGAGGUGGUGACCAUAGACCUGCAUUAUAUGACUGACAGACAAGAAUGGUUUGACCUAAAAAUAUCAAAAUUGAAACUUCUGUGGAAACAAAGACACCUACAUCUUGGAUGCCCUUGAGAUGCAGUUCAGAGAAACCCUCAUGGCUAAUUAUGCUGAAAUGGAGAUCGAGGGAUCCAUGAACUGGCAGCAGACCGAGGGGCAGACACAAGAUAAGUUUAAAUCUAUAUUACAAACACAACUCUUUAACCUAGCAUUAACAUAACACACUCCCACAUUUCUAUAAUUCACAUCCGUUAAAGGUAGCUUACACCAAAUGUACUUUUUACAUCGUAAGAAGAAUGGCAUCUAUGCUAAUGUUAGUCUCUCUGUCUCAUUUUGAUCCCAAGGUUAGGCUACUGUAGUCAUCCGGAUCUAGUCUGCAUCCAGACCAGACGGUGGACCUGCACCCUAAGAUGACCACAGCAGCCUGAAUGCCAGACGAGAACAUGACAACUAGACAAGACCUAGGAACAAACGCCUGUGAAGACCUCGUUGACACAACAAUCCUCGGCACAGUCAUCGGAUCAGAUCCACGAGAAACAGACCAGUCCACCACACAGACCCAACGGCCAGCUUCAACUCCCCUCUCACCGACGCCGGCGUGAUCUUAUGAAGGUAAAGGAGGAGCAAAACUGGAGAACAUAGAUGUGAAUUUAAGAACUUGUACAAUAAAUAUUUGUACUUGAAAACCUG